UACGUAGGGUGCGAGCGUUAAUCGGAAUGACUGGGCGUAAAGCGCGAGUAGGUGGCUGUUCAGGUUAGGCGUGAAAGCCCCGAGCUCAACUCGGGAACUGCGCUUAAUACGGUUCGGCUAGAGGACGGGAGAGGGCGGUGGAAUUCCAAGUGUAGAGGUGAAAUUCGUAGAUAUUUGGAAGAACACCAGUGGCGAAGGCGACCGCCUGGACCGUUUCUGACACUUAAGUGCGAAAGCGUGGGGAGCAAACAGG
This 253-nucleotide ribosomal RNA is filed under the name uncultured bacterium. RNAcentral's name for it is "partial 16S ribosomal RNA". It matches the Rfam family "Bacterial small subunit ribosomal RNA", at positions 524 to 776 of the family's 1533-position model. The record is from RNAcentral.